GACGAACGCUGGCGGCGUGCCUAAUACAUGCAAGUAGAACGCACAGUUUAUACCGUAGCUUGCUACACCAUAGACUGUGAGUUGCGAACGGGUGAGUAACGCGUAGGUAACCUGCCUGGUAGCGGGGGAUAACUAUUGGAAACGAUAGCUAAUACCGCAUAAUAUUGAUUAUUGCAUGAUAAUUGAUUGAAAGAUGCUAUUGCAUCACUACCAGAUGGACCUGCGUUGUAUUAGCUAGUAGGUGAGGUAACGGCUCACCUAGGCGACGAUACAUAGCCGACCUGGGAGGGGGAACGGCCAAACUGGGACUGAGACACGGCCCAGACUCCUACGGGAGGCAGCAGUAGGGAAUCUUCGGCAAUGGACGAAAGUCUGACCGAGCAACGCCGCGUGAGUGAAGAAGGUUUUCGGAUCGUAAAGCUCUGUUGUAAGAGAAGAACGGGUGUGAGAGUAGAAAGUUCACACUGUGACGGUAUCUUACCAGAAAGGGACGGCUAACUACGUG
This 505-nucleotide ribosomal RNA is filed under the name uncultured bacterium. RNAcentral describes it as "partial 16S ribosomal RNA". It matches the Rfam family "Bacterial small subunit ribosomal RNA", at positions 28 to 507 of the family's 1533-position model. The record is from RNAcentral.